This 253-nucleotide ribosomal RNA is filed under the name uncultured bacterium. RNAcentral's name for it is "partial 16S ribosomal RNA". It matches the Rfam family "Bacterial small subunit ribosomal RNA", at positions 524 to 776 of the family's 1533-position model. The record is from RNAcentral.
UACGUAGGGUGCGAGCGUUAAUCGGAAUUACUGGGCGUAAAGUGUGCGCAGGCGGCAGAGCAAGUCGAGUGUGAAAGCCCCGGGCUUAACUUGGGAAUUGCGCUCGAAACUACUUUGCUGGAGUGUGGCAGAGGAAGGUGGAAUUCCACGUGUAGCGGUGAAAUGCGUAGAGAUGUGGAGGAACACCAAUGGCGAAGGCAGCCUUCUGGGCCAACACUGACGCUCAUGCACGAAAGCGUGGGGAACAAACAGG